GUCAAGACAUAACUUCCAAUGCCAAUGAAUGAUGCAAUGCACUUGGCAUGUUGCAAUAAAAUUAAUAAAUCACCAAUGAUACUCCGACUUCAAAUUCAGGUUUGUGGGCUAGCCACAAAUAACAAUAUAAAAUAAUACCAUCACCAUAAAUACUUAAAUGAGACCACAAUUUAACUAAGACUAAAUAUACCAAAAUCAUAAAUUUUAGAUAUGAGAGGGAUGACAUUCUUAUAGACAAUAAACUGUAGGUGAUAAAAAUAACAAGCCAAAACGGUAGCAAACCACCGCUACAUUCACUUGCCUCUUUACCGAAGGAGAACAAAAGCACUAGCGAUGUUCCGAAGUGCUACCACCUGAUCACAAAUACUACUCAGUACAUACACCAACAUACAAGCAAGAGUAAGAACAAGUACGCACUAAAGCGCCCCAAACCCGACAUUCAAGCCUCUACCGUUUGCGCCACCGAUCAAGACAGCAGCACCGACUCUUCUCUUUUUCAUAUACUUCAGAAUACUCAUCCAAAAAUUACCACAAUUUAUCAGAUCAUGUAAAACUCUGUUAUAUACAACUUUUGUAUUGUAAGGUUUUGCAUCAGAGAUCUGCAAGAUGGUAUAAUUAACCAUAGAACACAACUGAAUAUUUCUGACCUUCAAAACAGAACAUCAAACUUCAAAAAUUCAUAACAGGAGAUAUACUUAUUCAAAAGUUACAAACUUUACCAAUCUAGAAAGGUUAACAAAAAUCCUAAAACCUUUGUUAAUAAUUAAAGACCUAAUUAUUUAAUUAACAGGGUCAAAAACUGCUUAGAUCCAAAACUGUCCAGAUUUUCGUCACUGGAAACCAGUCAGAUUGAAAACUCGAUAUCUCACAAAUUAUAACAGCUAUGACAGAGUUCUUGGCGUCCAAAGAAAGAUAUUGAAGUCCUCUACAACUUUGUCCACAUACCCAAAAAUUAUUAAAGAAUAUAAAAUGCCCUAACAUUACGAUGAACACGGACAGCUCAGUCUGACGAGAAUUUCAGAACACGAACGUAAAUGACUUCGAGAAUUUCUCCACUAAACCCAAUCCCAAAUAAGCGAUUUAAUCCGCAAAACUUGAUCAGAUGAAGGGGAUUAAUAUUUGGCUUCUCACCUAGAGAACUACAGCGAGCACGACGCCGAAACUCCCGGCGUCUACUCCUUCUUCUCCGCCUCUUCACCUUUCCAUCAUCUCCGAUCCAACUCGCCACGAUCCUUGCCGCCACAAAAGCCUUGUUUUUCCGAUCUACGCCAUACAUGGCUAAGCCUCAUGGACAGCAAAAGGGACAUGGUGGAUCAAUGGAACAGCCAAGAUACAAGGUAGAACCUAACUGUAUUUUCCACGAGAGGAAGAACGACCACCACGAUGACCGACGACGGCGGCGGCGGCUACGGCGGCGGCAAAACCCUAGGCCCUAUUCUCCCCUUCCCUCUUCUCCUUUCUCUUUUCACCCCCCUCCUCUUUUUUAUCGUGAAUAUGAAAAGCUAUGGAUGGCACCUAAAGGCUUUGCGAGGGGAUAUAAAAGGCCACCACGGAACUGUAGGGACGCGUAGCGUCACUCUACAGUAACAUGUUCCUGUUUAUUUUUUUUUAAAUUUUGAAAUGUAUAUAUUCAUGACCCAAAUUCCAAACAAUGCAUAUGAGUAGUGCAACUUAAAGCAUUCGACGAGCUCUACGCAUCUAAAAUCUCUGAUCAUUCAUUUGAGUGAUGGAUAAAAAAAUUAUUAUUAUUAUUAUUAUUUUACCACUUACACUUCUAACACAAUAACUAUAUUCAAGGUGUUACAUUCUACCUCCCUUAAAAGAAUUCGUCCCCGAAUUCCUCCACUUAUAAGCAAACAAAAAGUAUAAGACUCCUCUCAAAUGGCUACACUUGUAACAUGGCCAAGAUCUCAUAGUAUGAAGCAAGGAACUACUACUGAGAGGACUUUUGAUCUAGAUACCCAGUAAAAAGCACUUCAAACAAAAACACAAACACCAACGAAUGACACUCAUAUAUAUAUGCACUGGGACACUCAAGUCAGUAAUUUUGAUCAUCUAUGAACAAUCAAUGCUUGAACUCAAACUCAAGGUCUUAGUAAGAACAUUCUAAUAGCAUAUGGGUUAUAAAAAAAAAAUCUAAGGCCACACUUUCAUACUUUGAUGGCUCUUCAUACAGCAGCAAAACAUACAUGUAAAAAAAAUAGAAAAAAUUCCACCAAAGUUAUCAAACUUCCCUACAAUGACAAAGAACAUGAUGACAAAAUGCCACCUUAACAAACACAUAGCCUAUUUCUAAGACAAGCUGAAAGUGGCCCAAAAAAAAUUGUCUUAUACAGAACGUUUGUUCUAUAGAUACUUUCAGUAAAAAUCAUCAAGAUUUUCUAGUUAAGGUAGUAACAUCGAACACAGAAUUUGACAUCAGAAAUCACAAACUCAAUUCAAAAGCAUAAAACUAAAUUUAUAUUUCAGAUAUGACACUGAACCAUACACCAUUGGAAAGAUACUAAAAAACACUACAACUUUGGUAUUCAUUAUAAAGACUGGUUUGACCUUUAGCAUUGACAAAAACUGGAUCAAUCUAUUACUAUCCAGAAUAACAUGGAAACGACAACAACUAUAGUAAAAAAAAAAAAUCUCAAACCACAUAGCCUAAAAUCAUAAAAUUUCACAGAUGGUUAAAGGAAAUAUAUUUAAAUUUGGUGUUCAAUGGUUUGGCCAAUUCGGCCUGUAACAAAAAUAAAAAUGGCGAUGAACACAGACUACACAACCUCAUAAAUUCUCAGGAUGUGGACAUGAUCACUUAUGAGAACUACCCCAUCUAAUCUAACAAAAAAAACCAGGGUAUAAAUCUAAUCAAAAGCAAGGGGGUUAAAUAAGAUUCAUCUCACCUAGAUUACGCUAUAAAAAAAAACUUAGGGUUUGUGCAAUCCCUUUUUUCUCAUUCACUUGUCUUUCUUAUUUUCUCUAUCAUUCCUCCCUUCUCUGGUUAGUCAAUGGCAGCAGCAGACAACAUGAAUCCAAAGUCUUAGAAAAAGAAAUGGGAGUCCUAGGCGGAUUAGGGGCAAGGAAAAAUGGAAAAGAAGAGACAUAGGUGAAAAGUCGCCAGAAACGCUCGCAAUACGGCCAACUAUGUUACAGUAGCACGAUUUAUUGAUGGUCUACUAUAUAUUUACCUUCCAUAAAUCCUGUAUCAGCCCUAGUUGAGCAAAUCAAUCUCCAAACAACGCGUGAAGUCGAACAGAAAGAGUUCAUCGAGCUCUACGCAACUAUGGUCUCUAAUCAUCCAUCCGGGCAUUGGAUAUUUUUUUUUUCAACUCAAAAAAACACUCAUUGGACCAUUUACCACUUUGUGCUUCUUAACAUACACUAAAAAGAAUUCGUCCAUGAAUUCUAGAACAACACUAAACACAGACAACAUAUGUAUGACCUACAAAGAUAAAUACCACACAAGUAAAAAAAUGACUUGCAAACCCAAGAAGCCAUCUACAAGGACUAAUUCAACCAAAUCAUGUAAGUAAGUUGAAGAUGACAUAUUAAGCAUCCACAUAAAGAAUUAGAUCAGGUCAAUCAAACAAUAGCCACGGCUAAGGAAUGAAGUGAGACAACGUCACAUUUUUUAAAGAACAUGAACAUCAUGUUAAGAAUAAACGCUUAUUGAAACAUGAAUACUAAUUUAACCAACUCUUCUAGAUAUCUAUUCAUGCACUAGCAACAAAUAUGACUUCUAGAGUUCAGGCACUUCUCUGCUUAGUAAACCCAAAUCCUACUCAAAAUAAAAACGACAACUUUAAAGCAACUUAUAAUAAAGUAGUCAUGACCUAGAACACAGUAAAAUCAUGUCUUCAAGCAAACACUUCACCCAAGCAUUACAAAGGGUAAGCUCACAUAUUUGGACACUAGAAAUUAAUUAGAUAACUAGCAUGCACUCGACAAAAAAACACAUGAUUGCAUAUAACGCUCAAACCACUUGUAACUCUUAAUAUGCACUUCUAUCACUGAAUCACUAUGACCUGUGUAAGGUUACAACUGCACCACGGGAUAAUCCUACACCAUUCUAGGCUUAGGUUUAAACAUCACAACACGAACAUAUAGGACAAGUCACACAACGUCCCACCAAUCAAUAUGUCGGGAGAGAAUAGUUAGAGUGCACGGCAUGGGGGCCAAUCCACCCGUCACUUCACUAUUUUCUUCGAAUACAAAUAGUUGGGUCGCUACCUAUCUCUCAGGAAAUCCUCACAUAGUAGUGCAGAAAAAGCAUUGUGGGGCCCCUCCACUCCGCCCAUCUGCACUACUAAACUAUAGCUACUCUACGGGGUUCCAAGAUCUUUUGCUAUCAACAAAAACAUAAAGAACAUUCAUCAUCUUCGCUACUGAAGCACAUAAAACUACAAUACUUUAAAGGUACACUUAUGCAAAACAUUAUAGCGACAAAACUUGUCAAGUUUGUACUUGUAAGAAUAACUAAUAUGCACUAGAUCAUAUUUAAAUAUAUACAACAUAUGGCAACAACAAAUAAAAAUUAUGUAAACAAAGCCAAUAAAAUUUACACAUGACUCAAAGUUAACAAUAGCAAUGAUAUGUAACAUACGCAUAAGGAUACUUAAGAAAAACAAACACCUCAGUAUCAAAAGGCAUGCCUAACAUAUAAAUCCAUACCCAACCUACAUGUGCAAGUGUGUCAUUUUAAAUCUUACUUUUUCCGAGAAUCUAAUGCCUGCUUUGGUACCAACUGUAACACCCCGAAAAUCACAUAUACACCGGGAUGCUACUAGACUACACAAAUAACAGCUGCACACAACCAAUAAACAAUUUGGCAGCAUCUUCUUUGUAUUUAUAGCAAGCGGAAGAAUAAAAUAUAAAAAAAUACUGAAAUACCAAACUAGGAUUAAUGAACAUCCUAACGCAAAAAAAGUUACUUCAACAAGAAUUAAGUUUAACACCCACACUUUAACAACCGCCUUCAAAACCAAUAAGCAAACCAAAUUAUUAUUUAUUAAAACAUAAGGUCUCUAAAUGAAUAAGUGUGUGACGUGCAGCUAAUUCCCUUCCCUUCCAAGUGAGCAUCAAGUACCUGGGUUGAGUAAAGCAAGGGUGAGAUGAAACAUCUCAGCAAGCGAACUUGUUUUGACAAGCUAUUUAAACCACAAUUUGAAUUAACAUCAAUUUAAUAUGGUGUUCCCAAUUGACAUAAUAUCAUACUAAAGUAACAGUCUUCCAAUUUGGAACAUAGCCAAUAAUACAGAGCUUCAUAAUAACGUGGAUAAAAUCCCUUCAAUAACAUACUUCUCAUGAAUGCAUAUGAAUGCAAUGCAUAUGUCUCCUGCCUGCACACCCAACAAGGUGUGGAGCUGCAUCCCAUGAUGCGUACCGGUACAGUCAUGACCAUAGGUCAAGACAUAACUUCCAAUGCCAAUGAUGCAAUGCACUUGGCAUGUUGUAAUAAAAUUAAUAAAUCACCAAUGAUACUCCGACUUCAAAUUCAGGUUUGUGGGCUAGCCACAAAUAACAAUAUAAAAUAAUACCAUCACCAUAAAUACUUAAAUAAGACCACAAUUUAACUAAGACUAAAUAUACCAAAAUCAUAAAUUUUAGAUAUGAGAGGGAUGACAUUCUUAUAGACAAUAAACUGUAGGUGAUAAAAAUAACAAGCCAAAACGGUAGCAAACCACCGCUACAUUCACUUGCCUCUUUACCGAAGGAGAACAAAAGCACUAGCGAUGUUCCGAAGUGCUACCACCUGAUCACAAAUACUACUCAGUACAUACACCAACAUACAA
This 5777-nucleotide long non-coding RNA is filed under the name Sorghum bicolor (sorghum). Its description in RNAcentral is "long non-coding RNA (SBIC_LNC000802)". Lineage: Eukaryota; Viridiplantae; Streptophyta; Magnoliopsida; Poales; Poaceae. The record is from RNAcentral.